AGUCGCAAAUCAAACAGGGUUCUCUGGCUCACGGGGAAGUCAUUCGCUCUUGUGACCCGCGUGCCUGGCCUCGGGCUGAGCCCCGAGCGAGCGUGGCCCCUGUCCGCUGGGAGUCCCAGGGCGAGGACACGCGCUUCGCCCGUUAUCGCAAGUCUGGGUCUGGUCACCCGCUGGGGCCGCGCAGAGUGGCAGGAAGGAAAAACGCGGGGCAGAAUGUGUGAGCAUGUGUGCAUAUCGCACUAGGUCCCCGUGCGAUAAUUAAGGUACAUUUCUGAUCGUGGUGGUAGUCAGGAAGUAAUGACAGAAAAGUAGCUACGGAGAUGAUGGGCGCAAAAAAGUAAAACCAAAGCAAUAAAACAGAAUGUAAAGAUUUGGUAAAGGUGACUGAGCGGUCUUGCCAAGUUGCCCAAGUGGAAUUUGAACUUG
This is a long non-coding RNA of Chinchilla lanigera (long-tailed chinchilla), 426 nucleotides long. RefSeq lists it as uncharacterized. The transcript has 4 exons. The record is from RefSeq and is a predicted model, not a curated record. Lineage: Eukaryota; Metazoa; Chordata; Mammalia; Rodentia; Chinchillidae.